This 504-nucleotide ribosomal RNA is filed under the name uncultured bacterium. RNAcentral describes it as "partial 16S ribosomal RNA". It matches the Rfam family "Bacterial small subunit ribosomal RNA", at positions 29 to 523 of the family's 1533-position model. The record is from RNAcentral.
AUUGAACGCUGGCGGCAGGCCUAACACAUGCAAGUCGGACGGUAGCACAGAGAGCUUGCUCUUGGGUGACGAGUGGCGGACGGGUGAGUAAUGUCUGGGGAUCUGCCCGAUAGAGGGGGAUAACCACUGGAAACGGUGGCUAAAACCGCAUAACGUCGCAAGACCAAAGAGGGGGACCUUCGGGCCUCUCACUAUCGGAUGAACCCAGAUGGGAUUAGCUAGUAGGCGGGGUAAUGGCCCACCUAGGCGACGAUCCCUAGCUGGUCUGAGAGGAUGACCAGCCACACUGGAACUGAGACACGGUCCAGACUCCUACGGGAGGCAGCAGUGGGGAAUAUUGCACAAUGGGCGCAAGCCUGAUGCAGCCAUGCCGCGUGUAUGAAGAAGGCCUUCGGGUUGUAAAGUACUUUCAGCGGGGAGGAAGGCGGUGAGGUUAAUAACCUUGCCGAUUGACGUUACCCGCGGAAGAAGCACCGGCUAACUCCGUGCCAGCCGCCGCGGUAA